UUCAGCUGUAGGUUAUAACAGAAUGGCACAAUUAUAAAACAAAACAUGACAACAAAGAAAUAAAUGAAAUGACCCCUGUUUAAAAGUCUGCAUUCCCUUAGUUCUUAAUACUGUGUAUUGACCACUUUAGCAUCAAUGACAGCGUGCAGUCUUUUCUAAUAGCUCUCUAUGAGGCCCCUAAUUCUUGCAGAUGGUAUAGCUGCCCAUUGGUCUUAGCAAAAUGCCUCCAGGUCAUGCAAAGUCUUUGUUCGUCUUACAUGAACCGCACGUUUCAGAUCUCCCCAGGGUGGCUCGAUGAUACUAAGGUCAGGAGACUGUGAUGGCCACUCCAGAACCUUCACCUUUUCAUGCUGUAACCACUGGAGGGUCAACUUGGUCUUGUGCUUAGGGUUGUUGUCAUGCUGGAAAGUCCAAGAGCAUCCUAUGGGCAGCCUUCGUGCAGAAGAAUGCAAAUUGUCUGCCAGUAUUUUCUGAUAACAUGCAGCAUUAAUCUUGCCAUCAAUUUUCACAAGAUUCCCCGAGCUCACAACCCUCAAAACAUCCGUGAGUCACUACCAUGCUUCACAGUGGGGAUGGUAUUCUUUUCACUAUAGGCCCCUCUCCAAACAUAGUGAUUAUGAUUGUGACCAUAAAUCUCUAAUUGGUCUCGUCACUCCAAGUUCUGGUGUGUCAGAAGCUGUGAGACGUGUCAACGUGUUGUCGGGCAUAUUGUAAAAUGCUGUUUUAUUUGGCAUUGGUGCAAUAAAGGCUUCUUUCUGGCAACUCGAUAAUGCAGCUCAUUAUAGUCGUAUUGGGCUCCUUGAAGUGAGAUUGUGUGUGUGUGGUCCUGUUAGUGAGUGAGCUUGUAUGUGUAUGUGUGUGUAUAUGCCUGUUAGUGAGUGAGAUUGUAUGUGUAUGUGUGUGUAUAUGCCUGUUAGUGAAUGAGAUUGUAUGUGUAUGUGUGUGUGUGUGUGUGUAUGUGCCUGUUAGUUAGAGAGAUUGUGUGUGUGUUCCUGUUGGUGAGUGAGAUUGUGUGUGUGUG
This is a non-coding RNA of Pelobates cultripes (western spadefoot toad), 1021 nucleotides long. The record is from the annotation of a GenBank genome assembly. NCBI's taxonomy places the organism in Eukaryota, Metazoa, Chordata, Amphibia, Anura, Pelobatidae.